RNAcentral lists this ribosomal RNA (317 nucleotides) under Malenella nana. Its description in RNAcentral is "partial 12S ribosomal RNA". Lineage: Eukaryota; Metazoa; Arthropoda; Arachnida; Araneae; Macrobunidae. The record is from RNAcentral.
AGGUAGUAAAACUUUAUUACUAAAACCUAUCUAUCUUGGCGGCAUUUCAUCUGUUUAGAGGAAUUUGUUAAUUAAUCGAUAAUCCACGAUAAUUUUUACUUUAACCUAAAAUUUAUAUACCGCCAUCUAAAGAGUUAAUUUUAGAAUUAACUCUUUUAAACAAAUAAAAAGUUAGGUCAAGGUGUAGUCAACGUUAAAGAUUUAAAUGAAUUACUUUAAAUAUUAUUUAAGGAAAAUUUUGUAAAAACACUUUUCGAAAAAGGAUUUAAUAGUAAGAUUGAAAUAAUAAUUCAAUUUAAAUCAGAUAAUAAAUGUGU